UCCCUGGAGGACUAGUGGUUAGGCCACAGCACUCUCACCGCUGCAGCCUGGGUUCAAUUCCCAGCCAGUGAC
Molecule: transfer RNA, 72 nt
Filed under: Pangasianodon gigas (Mekong giant catfish)
Lineage: Eukaryota; Metazoa; Chordata; Actinopteri; Siluriformes; Pangasiidae
Description: tRNA-Glu
Rfam family: tRNA
About the family: Transfer RNA (tRNA) molecules are approximately 80 nucleotides in length. Their secondary structure includes four short double-helical elements and three loops (D, anti-codon, and T loops). Further hydrogen bonds mediate the characteristic L-shaped molecular structure. tRNAs have two regions of fundamental functional importance: the anti-codon, which is responsible for specific mRNA codon recognition, and the 3' end, to which the tRNAs corresponding amino acid is attached (by aminoacyl-tRNA synthetases). tRNAs cope with the degeneracy of the genetic code in two manners: having more than one tRNA (with a specific anti-codon) for a particular amino acid; and 'wobble' base-pairing, i.e. permitting non-standard base-pairing at the 3rd anti-codon position.
Source: RNAcentral